UACGAACCGUCCAAACGUUAUUCGGAAUUACUGGGCUUAAAGGGUUUGUAGGCGGCCUUGUAAGUGGGGUGUGAAAUCCCUCGGCUCAACCGAGGAAUAGCGCUCCAAACUACAUGGCUUGAGGGGGACAGGGGUAAGCGGAACUGAUGGUGGAGCGGUGAAAUGCGUUGAUAUCAUCAGGAACACCGGUGGCGAAAGCGGCUUACUGGGUCUCUUCUGACGCUGAGAAACGAAAGCUAGGGUAGCGAACGGG
Molecule: ribosomal RNA, 253 nt
Filed under: uncultured bacterium
Lineage: Bacteria
Description: partial 16S ribosomal RNA
Rfam family: Bacterial small subunit ribosomal RNA
Source: RNAcentral